This 432-nucleotide unclassified non-coding RNA is filed under the name soil metagenome. RNAcentral describes it as "partial contains 5.8S ribosomal RNA, internal transcribed spacer 2, and large subunit ribosomal RNA". The stretch from base 1 to 120 matches the Rfam family "5.8S ribosomal RNA", at positions 35 to 154 of the family's 154-position model. The record is from RNAcentral.
GAUGAAGAACGCAGUGAAAUGCGAUACGUAAUGUGAAUUGCAGAAUUCAGUGAAUCAUCGAAUCUUUGAACGCAUAUUGCGCUCUCUGGUAUUCCGGAGAGCAUGCUUGUUUGAGUAUCAGUAAACACCUCAACUUCCAUAUCUUUUUUGAAAUGGGAGUUGGACUUGAGUGAUCCCAACGCUUUUCCUCACCGAAAAGUGGCGGGUUACUUGAAAUGCAGGUGCAGCUGGACUUUUCUCUGAGCUAUAAGCAUAUCUAUUUAGUCUGCCUAAAAAACAGAUUAUUACCUUUGCUGCAGCUAACAUAAAGGAGAUUAGUUCUUGUGCUGACUGAUGCAGGAUUCACAAAGACAGGCUUCGGCCGACUUUGUAAACUCGAUCUCAAAUCAAGUAGACUACCCGCUGAACUUAAGCAUAUCAAUAAGCGGAGGA